This 1364-nucleotide long non-coding RNA is filed under the name Macaca mulatta (Rhesus monkey). RNAcentral describes it as "lncRNA (ENSMMUG00000062535.1)". The record is from RNAcentral. Lineage: Eukaryota; Metazoa; Chordata; Mammalia; Primates; Cercopithecidae.
AUCCCAAAAAAAAAAGUUUGAGAAGUUUACAAACUGGAAGAAAACUGGAGGGGGCUGGGCUCGUGCAGUAGCUCACACCUGUAAUCCCAGCACUUUGGGAGGCUGAGGCAGGCGAAUCACGAGGUCAGGAGAUCAAGACCAGCCUGGCUACCAUGGUGAAACCCCGUCUCUACUAAAAAUACAAAAAAAUUAGCCGGGCGUGGUGGCAGGCGCCUGUAGUCCCAGCUACUUGAGAGGCUGAGGCAGGAGAAUGGUGUGAACCCAGGAGGCAGAGCUUGCAUGAGCCAAGAUCACAGCACUGCACUCCAGCCUGGGCGACAGAGCGAGACUCCAUCUCAAAAAAGAAAAGAAAAUUGGAGGGGGCUGUGGGGUGAAAGGGUCUGUAUGGCAAAUUGGAUGUUUCCUACUUGACUAUGCUUUACGUGGACUGGGGAGCUGAACUGGGCAUUUACUGAUUUGUGCACGGAGUUCAGAGCCAGAGCGGAAGUGCUGCCCAGAGCUUUUCGCUCUCUCAAGAUGCCGUGGAGAGUACUGGAGUUGACUGCCACCAAAGCAGUCAGGACAGGAUGAAAGAUUGUGGAUGGUAAGCGGUUUUAGAAUUCCGGUUUUAAAAUUCAGUUUAUCAUUAACAAUGAAUGAGCAGGCCAGGCGCGGUGGUUCAGGCCUGUAAUCCCAGCACUUUGGGAGGCCAAGGCGGGCGGAUCACCUGAGGUCAGGAGUUGGAGACCAGCCUGGCCAACAUAGUGAAACUCCAUCUCUACUAAAAAUACAAAAAUUAGCCAGGCAUGUUGGUGUGCGCCUGUAAUCCCAGCUACGCAGGAGGCUGAGGCAGGAGAAUCACUUGAAUUCGGGACGUGGAAGUUGCAGUGAGCCAAGAUUGCGCCAUUGCACUCCAGCCUGGGUGACAAGGGCCAAACUCUGUCUCAGAAACAAAAAACAAAAUACAAACGAAACAAUGAAUGACGAGUGAAACUGUUCAGUAAAAUAAAAUUCUUGAGCAGUAGACUAUGCCUUCUCCCCUCUGGACAGAUAAACCCACUCUUCAAGGGAAAUCAAGUUCUAAUCAGAAAGUUACUUGAUGAGUUAGGGAAUCAGAUUAUGGGGGUAGAGUCUGAGGCUGCAAGAAGCUAUGGUUUAAAAAAAAAAAAAAAAAGAGUUGGAGGCUUCCAGUCUGAUGCAGCCAGCCUGAUGUGAGGGCUGGGUCCUCUGUGAGGGGCAGCUUAAAUCCUGGAGCAGGACACCUUCUUCCUGGACAGUGCUCACACAGGCACUGGGGACUUGGCUCUUUGUUUUUCCCUUUCCUCUUUUUUUUUUUUUUUUCCAUGAUCACCUGUCUUUUAGUUUGCAGAGAAUUCCUUCCAAUG